Molecule: ribosomal RNA, 253 nt
Filed under: uncultured bacterium
Lineage: Bacteria
Description: partial 16S ribosomal RNA
Rfam family: Bacterial small subunit ribosomal RNA
Source: RNAcentral
UACGUAGGGUGCGAGCGUUAAUCGGAAUUACUGGGCGUAAAGGGUGCGCAGGCGGUUUUGUAAGCCAGAUGUGAAAUCCCCGGGCUCAACCUGGGAACUGCAUCUGUGACUGCAUCGCUGGAGUGCGGCAGAGGGGGAUGGAAUUCCGCGUGUAGCAGUGAAAUGCGUAGAUAUGCGGAGGAACACCGAUGGCGAAGGCAAUCCCCUGGGCCUGCACUGACGCUCAUGCACGAAAGCGUGGGGAGCAAACAGG